AUGGGAGAAAAUCAGGGACUCGAGAAGGCAAUUGAAAAAUUGGCUGAGCUCCUAACAGCCAAGGUAGGAGCUGCAGCAUCUCUAAAUAAUGCAAUUGUUCCUCACAUUGAGCCAAUUCAGAAAAUUGACUUGAUGCCAAAUGAAAUUAAGCUGGAAGGUGUUAAGAAUUAUUUGAGCUGGUCAAGAAGGGCGCUACUCAUCUUGAGGACUAAAGGGCUUGAGGGCUUUGUCAGUGGUGAGGCAGAGGAGCCAGGAGACAAGAAAACUUCAGAAUGGAGGACAUGGAGCAGUACCAACUCUUUGAUAGUGGCAUGGUUGUUGAACUCCUUGUCUCCAACCAUUGCUGCAACUGUUGAGACUAUCUCAACUGCUACUGAGGUAUGGAAAACCCUCUCAAAACUAUACUCAGGUGAAGGGAAUGUGAUGUUAAUAGCUGAAACAGAGGAGAGAGUUGGUGAACUCAGACAAGGGGAAAAUUAUGUGAUGGAGUAUGUUGCUGAACUGCAGCGUUUGUGGGCUGAUUUAGAUCACUAUGAUCCUCUGGAUUUGCCACAUGCAGAUUGCAUAGCAGCUGCUAGAAAAUGGAUUGAACGCAGACGAGUGAUGCAGUUUCUCAAAGGAUUGAACUCUGACUUUGUGGCGAGACAUGCUACUUUAUUUCAUCAACCUACUCUACCUGCCUUAGAGGAUGCCAUAGCAGCAAUGACAUAG
RNAcentral lists this ribosomal RNA (711 nucleotides) under Triticum aestivum (bread wheat). RNAcentral describes it as "partial small subunit ribosomal RNA". Lineage: Eukaryota; Viridiplantae; Streptophyta; Magnoliopsida; Poales; Poaceae. The record is from RNAcentral.